This 274-nucleotide ribosomal RNA is filed under the name uncultured bacterium. Its description in RNAcentral is "partial 16S ribosomal RNA". It matches the Rfam family "Bacterial small subunit ribosomal RNA", at positions 523 to 796 of the family's 1533-position model. The record is from RNAcentral.
AUACGGAGGGUGCAAGCGUUAUUCGGAAUCACUGGGCGUAAAGGACGCGUAGGCGGGUUGGCAAGUCAGAUGUGAAAUCCUACAGCUUAACUGUAGAACUGCAUUUGAAACUGCUAACCUAGAGUAUGGGAGGGGGAGAUGGAAUUAGUGGUGUAGGGGUAAAAUCCGUAGAUAUCACUAGGAAUACCGAAAGCGAAGGCGAUCUCCUGGAACAUAACUGACGCUAAGGCGUGAAAGCGUGGGGAGCAAACGGGAUUAGAUACCCCAGUAGUCC